CAAAACAUAGCUAUGAACGAAAGCCUCUCUUUUACACAGAGAAAAUACUUGUGCAACUCAAGUUGUUUUGA
This 71-nucleotide transfer RNA is filed under the name Neogymnocrinus richeri. Its description in RNAcentral is "tRNA-Val". The record is from RNAcentral. Lineage: Eukaryota; Metazoa; Echinodermata; Crinoidea; Cyrtocrinida; Sclerocrinidae.